GGUGUCACUCCGAGAUAUUUUUUUUCCUGACAUUUUUGGUUGCCUUCAUACUUGAUUUGUACGAGUGCUCCAUUUUAUGAAUAAUAAUUAAAAAAAAUAUAGUACAGUGAACAUACAAAUCCAGAAUAGAAAGAUCCUACAAGAAACUAAGUAUGCAGAACAGUAGAAAAGAAUCCAACUUUCUGUGUUUGCCUAGCCUCCUCUGCUUUCCUAGAUAGAACUG
RNAcentral lists this long non-coding RNA (223 nucleotides) under Elaeis guineensis (African oil palm). RNAcentral describes it as "long non-coding RNA (EGUI_LNC018011)". The record is from RNAcentral. Lineage: Eukaryota; Viridiplantae; Streptophyta; Magnoliopsida; Arecales; Arecaceae.